Molecule: long non-coding RNA, 1245 nt
Filed under: Olea europaea subsp. europaea
Lineage: Eukaryota; Viridiplantae; Streptophyta; Magnoliopsida; Lamiales; Oleaceae
Source: RNAcentral
CCCAAAAAAAAAAGAAAGAAGAAAAGAAAUUAGUGAAUGAAAAACUUAGUACUUCUAUUAAAUAAUACCUCACGAUUAAUACCUCUGCCUUUGAGCUGCACAUCAGCAACACAUACUGUGCCUAACGGCAGCUCGCAAAAAUUACUACAAAAGAACAUAAGAUAAUGUAGUCUAAACAACAUAGCACAUGGUAUGAUAUGGGUUUGCAGUACUUUUACAACAAAAUCGUACAUUUCUUAACAUUUCGCAUAAUAUUAUCAACUUUAUGCCAGAAGACAACAAAUUUUAUUGCUUGGGUAUUUAGAAUUGAGGUGAAAACAUUGGAUCCAAAACUGGUGAAAUAUACAGCAAGAACAUGUCAAUUGCUGAAGCACAAUAUGCAGCACGAAUUCGUGGUACCUUAUGAAUUUAAGUGUUAUACCUUGCCAUGGUUAAAAUUAUCAACACCAAACACUUAACACUGUAGAAUAAAAUGAAUUCCCAUGAGUUUACAACAAGAUACUUAAAGAAAAAAAGAAAUAUUGCUCACUGGGAAACAAUGUCGUGUGUGGUCGGUAAUAUGGGAGAGUAAAUGAGGAAUCUUCCGACACGAGAAGUUGAAAGAGAAUUCAUAUAUGAAUCUAUCUGAAACGCAUCCUUUUGAAAGCUCUCUUGUUCUUCAUUCUCCGAAUGCAAAACAACAUUUAUCGAAGCAUUAUCUGGAAGUUUUAUUGUGUUAUUGAUCUUCAAAAACCUGGCUAAUUCGUUCUCUGGACUUGAUUUCCCGCAUAAGAUCAACGUAGUAGGUGAUUCCAACUCCAUUUCUGCACAAACAAACACAAAAGGGAGAAAUUAGUACUGCAUAUAAUGAAGACAAGGGGGAGCUAAUGAAGAGUAGCACAUAAGAACGCCACUUGAAGAAGGCUGUGCGGCAGCCCUCUAUUGGGGGCGCACGUAUGAUCUGACCCAAGAAUCAAUUCUCGAGGCAAACAAUCUAAGCUCUUGCCCCUUAAAAUUCAUCAAUUUAAUUUAAAUUUUAUUAUCUCAUAUUUCCAAUCACACAAUUUUUAAUAAAAUAAUAUUUUACAUAAAUUGAAAAAUUUUCAUUCUUUUACAAUUAUCCAUUUUCAGAAAAAUACUAUUCUCCCAUUAUAAAUCCAAAUAAUGAGGGUCAAAAGUGGGUUAAAUUGACAAAUUUGUACUUCACGCAAGUUGGAAUUGAUUCUUAGGUCACUCCGAUUUUUCCCUCAUCAGAAUUGAUUCUUG